RNAcentral lists this ribosomal RNA (506 nucleotides) under uncultured bacterium. RNAcentral's name for it is "partial 16S ribosomal RNA". It matches the Rfam family "Bacterial small subunit ribosomal RNA", at positions 29 to 523 of the family's 1533-position model. The record is from RNAcentral.
AGUGAACGCUGGCGGUAGACCUAACACAUGCAAGUCGAACGGCAGCACAGGAGAGCUUGCUCUCUGGGUGGCGAGUGGCGGACGGGUGAGGAAUACAUCGGAAUCUGCUUUUUCGUGGGGGAUAACGUAGGGAAACUUACGCUAAUACCGCAUACGACCUACGGGUGAAAGCAGGGGACCUUCGGGCCUUGCGCGAUUGAAUGAGCCGAUGUCGGAUUAGCUAGUUGGCGGGGUAAAGGCCCACCAAGGCGACGAUCCGUAGCUGGUCUGAGAGGAUGAUCAGCCACACUGGAACUGAGACACGGUCCAGACUCCUACGGGAGGCAGCAGUGGGGAAUAUUGGACAAUGGGCGCAAGCCUGAUCCAGCCAUACCGCGUGGGUGAAGAAGGCCUUCGGGUUGUAAAGCCCUUUUGUUGGGAAAGAAAUCCAGCUGGCCAAUACCCGGUUGGGAUGACGGUACCCAAAGAAUAAGCACCGGCUAACUUCGUGCCAGCCGCCGCCGUAA